RNAcentral lists this long non-coding RNA (775 nucleotides) under Homo sapiens (human). Its description in RNAcentral is "HSALNT0024738". The record is from RNAcentral. Lineage: Eukaryota; Metazoa; Chordata; Mammalia; Primates; Hominidae.
CAAAAAUGCACUUGUACCCCCUAAAUCUGUUUUUUUAAAAAGGUCUUGCAGUGUGACUUGGUGGAUGCCAAGAAGGAGUUCUGGGAACUGGCCUUUCCUACAACAGAGAGAAUGCCUCCGAGACGCUGAUCAGCCAAAUGCUCUGACCACGGCCAUGUGCAUUAAGUAUACACCCACGAGAGCCUAAGCAUAUACUUAAUUGCACCAAAAUGUCCAUGAAGCCUACCCAACUGAUUUUCAGUUCCCAUUCAUUAUUUAUGAGACAGGUGAUAAGUUACACUGAAACGAUGCCAAUGAUAGUUGGCAUAUAACUAUGAUAAGACCUUUGGUGGUAUACGUUCCUCUUGUGUGAUUUCAAUUUCUUAAAAUAUGCUGUGAUUUUUUUCUGUCCCCAUUGAUUUACAGAUAAAAAUCUUUGUUUUCCACUUCUUUUUUCUCUGUGACUGCCCUCCAUUACACUUCAUCAUUAUUCUAUUUUCUUUCUUGAGCUCUAAUGGAAAAGACGGGAGUACCAUGACAGAAGGAAAAUAUAAAAACUCCAGUACCUACAUAGAAGUGCAACCUUGGAUGCUCUUCUAGGAAGACAAGACCCCAUCUAGACACCUUUAGUGUGACCUUGGAGACCACAUUUGAACAUGGUGAAGCCAAAGGAUGGAAUGGUCCUCAAAUCACUCAGAGAAAAGACGCCUGACCAGGAAGACCCCAAGUGGACUCUUACACAAGCGAAAUAUAAGAUAAUGCUGUUUUAAUCCACUGGGAUUUUAGAGUUUGUAAG